GUGCACGCCGACUCGGCCGCUCAGCAUAAACAAGGGACGCGUCAUCGGUCGAUCGGCGUUUCCGUGGUGACGGAGGGCGGUGGGAGCUGCGUUGCCUUGGUAACAGGAGGAGGCGAGGAGAUGAUGGAGGACCUUCCCCGUUGCCUGUCUCUGUUUCUCGGAGAGGUUUACUGCUAGCGGCUUCUUGACUUGCAAAACAUUUGUGAUGGGGCGUGUCAAAUAAUGGAGCUGAAUCAUCAGUACACUGAAUCCAGUUGUGACCAUAAUAAAAGUCCUCUGUCUUGAACUCAA
Molecule: long non-coding RNA, 291 nt
Organism: Rhincodon typus (whale shark)
Lineage: Eukaryota; Metazoa; Chordata; Chondrichthyes; Orectolobiformes; Rhincodontidae
Exons: 2
Source: RefSeq, a predicted model, not a curated record